Molecule: RNA transcript, 15667 nt
Organism: Chinchilla lanigera (long-tailed chinchilla)
Lineage: Eukaryota; Metazoa; Chordata; Mammalia; Rodentia; Chinchillidae
Gene: Dnah7
Gene name: dynein, axonemal, heavy chain 7
Exons: 64
Source: RefSeq, a predicted model, not a curated record
AUGUUUUUUAUGCAGGAUAAAUCAACUUCCAAGGACAAAUCCAAGCUCGCAGGAAGAGGUUUGCCACAGUUGGCUACGGUGAGUACAAAGCCCCAGUGGCAGCGAGCAGCUCCAUCAUUCCAUCUGAAUAUAAAGCAGGAUGAUGAGAUUCCAGAGCCUUAUACUAUUAAAAACGAACAGUCCUAUGCUGAAUACGUGGAACACUUUGGAAAGAAAGGCAAAAUCUUGCACCAAGUUGAUGAUGCUGAACCAUCUACCUCCAAGUCAAAGGCCAAGUCUCCUCACAGGGAACGAGAAAACUUUAGAAGUGCUCUUGUUAACGUCAUCCUGCAACAAGAGAUUGGUUUAGAAUCACCUAUCUUUGAAGAAAGCACAGUUCCAAGAAAGACCACUUCGGCAAUAGAAAAAGACAUCUUGAGGCAUUACUAUUAUAUUCAUCAUGGAAUUGAUACAGACCAUGUAGCCCCAAUGGAAGACUCUUGGCUAAAACAUGUACUGGAUCUAGUCCCACAGCAUCUGAAAGUCCUCACAGACAGCAUAACUGUGUUAUCAGAUGAAAUGCGAGAAGAUUAUCUACUGAGUGUAAAAAAGUCAAUAGUUGAUUUUGUUCUAAAAGACCCCAGAGAAAAGGAGGACGACAAAAAGCCAAUCGACCUUCUGCCCCACCGUGCUGAAAUGGAAGUUUUGCCAAAACCUUGGAGGAAGUCAUUCUUAGCUGCGACUACUUACAUCAGAGACCACCUGAAUUCAAUGAACUCCACGAUGCUGGCUGUGCUGGAUUUGUGGCACAGUACAUAUAAAAAAUUACGUUUAGUGGAUACAGAAGAAUUCCACAAUCGCCAGGAUGCACUAGAGCUAUCAAGCUUCCAGAACAUUAUCAUGAAACACAUGGAAAAUGCUAAAGAGAUUCUGCUUAAAAUGUGGUUUCCAGAAGUGCAGAAUAUUUAUUACCAAGGUAAUAAAAAAAAGCAGUUGCCGGCCAGUGACAACAGUGCCAAAUUGGAGUCUUUUUUCAACUGUGCCGCUACGCUAAUGACUUUACAGCUGCAGGACCUCGCUUUAGUCUCCAUGCAGGAUUUCACCGACCUGAUUGCACAACCCCCCGAUUCUAUCAGAGCUUUCGAACACCCUGGUUUCAUCAUGAGGCUGAUUCUUGAUCACGACACCAUUAAGUUCGAACCUGAAUUUGAAGAGUAUAUCGAUAUCCUCGUAAACGUUUACGAUGUCAUGGUUAAGGUUGUCAGUUUUGUGCCAAGAGUGGAGACAAAAUUGUACUCCAAAUGGGAAAGUAAGUCUAAGCCAACCACUUUGAAGCCCAUAAUUCUGGACGAAAUCAUAGAAGCUCACAAAAACAAGAUUAAGGAGGUGGUAGAGAGGGAGAGCGUGGCCCCGCUGGAGCACCUUCAUCUCUACGACAAAUACGACUUUCUAAUUUCCAAGAAAGCUGAGCUCGACACUGAUGUGUUUCUUGAGGAAAAUCACCAUUAUGAGAGAGUAAUAGAGGAGAUUCGUAAAUAUCAACAACUAAUAGAGGACAUACAGUACACGUCUAGAAAGAGUGUCCGCCUCGGGAUGUUUGAGAUGCACUGUGAAGAAUUAAUCAGAGCGCUGGUGAAACGAGCAGACACUAUUUGUGGGAGACUGAUAGCCAAGAUGUACAAAGACCACCAGGAACUGAACACAAGGCUAUGUGAAGAAUUUGAGAAGAUAGCUGAAAAAGCUCUCAGCACCCCUCCAAACACAGCAGAGCUGAUGGAGAUGAAGGCUUACAUUCAGAAAGUGGAGGCAACUGAUAUGGUUGAGCUGGGGCAGAGACUAGUGGACUCCAAAAACUGCCUCGCCUUCCUCAUUGAGUGCAGCACCUUUUCUCCGGCAGAUAUCAGGCUGAACAACAGUGUCUUCCAGUGGUAUGGAAGAAUGGGAGAGAUCUUUGAAGAACACAGGAAAAUCAUUAAAGAGAAAACAGAACAGUAUCAAGACGGUCUUAAGCUGCGGUGCGAGCGGUUUGUGGAGGAGCUGGAGAGCUAUGCCAAGCAGGCCGAGGAGUUCUACAGCUUCGGGGACCUGCAGGACAUGCAGCGCUACCUGAAGAAAGCGCAGGCGCUGAACACCAAGCUGGACGCGGCCGCAGACAAGAUCCUGCAAUUCAAUGCCGAAGAAGAGGCCUUUGGCUGGCUGCCCUCAAUAUAUCCUCAACGGAAAAAAAUCCAAGAUGGUUUGAAUCCGUACCUCCGUCUCUACGAAACGACCGUCGAGUUCAGCAACAAGUACAAAGCGUGGACAGAAGGGCCCUACCACAAGGUGAACCCUGACCAGGUAGAGGCGGAUGUGGGGAAUUACUGGAGAGGCCUCUAUAAGCUAGAGAAGAUCUUCCACGAUUCUCCAAACGCCUUGGCCAUGACCAAGAAAGUCAGAUCCAAGGUGGAGGACUUCAAGCAGUACAUCCCCCUGGUGCAGGUGAUCUGCAACCCCGGCCUGCGGCCCAGGCACUGGGAGGCCAUGUCCGCCAUCGUGGGCUACCCGCUGCAGCCCGCCGACGACUCCACUGUCUUCUCCUUCAUAGACCUGAAUCUCGAGCCGUACCUCGACAAGUUUGAGGGUAUCAGUGAAGCGGCCAGCAAGGAAUAUUCUCUUGAGAAGGCCAUGGAGAAGAUGAUCACCGAGUGGGACGGGAUGGAAUUUGUCAUUCUUCCUUACAGGGAGAGUGGGACGUACAUCCUGUCGGCAGUUGAUGAAAUUCAGAUGCUGUUGGAUGACCACAUUGUCAAAACACAGACGAUGCGGGGAUCUCCUUUCAUUAAGCCUUAUGAAAAACAAAUAAGGGAGUGGGAGGGCAAGCUGCUGCUGCUGCAGGAGAUCCUGGACGAGUGGCUCAAGGUCCAGGCCACGUGGCUGUACCUGGAGCCCAUCUUCAGCUCCCCCGACAUCAUGUCGCAGAUGCCCGAGGAAGGCCGGCGCUUCACGGCGGUGGACAAGACGUGGCGGGAUUUAAUGAAGAGCGUCCUGCAGAAUAAACAUGUUCUGGCAGUUGUAACUAUUGACAGAAUGCUGGAAAAGCUGAAAAAAAAUAAUGAACUUUUGGAACUCAUUCUUAAAGGACUGAACGAAUAUUUGGAGAAGAAACGUCUCUUCUUUCCCAGAUUCUUUUUCUUGUCAAACGAUGAACUGCUUGAGAUACUAUCUGAGACUAAAGACCCCACUCGGGUGCAGCCUCACUUGAAGAAAUGCUUUGAAGGAAUCGCAAAGGUGGAAUUCACAGAAACGCUGGACAUCACUCACAUGAAGAGCAGCGAAGGCGAGGUGGUGGAGCUCAUGGAGACCAUUUCCACCGCGAAAGCGCGAGGUCAGGUGGAGAAGUGGCUGGUGGAGCUGGAGAGAAUCAUGAUUAACUCCAUCCACAAGGUCAUCGGAAGUGCGAUUCUGGCCUAUAUGAAUAACGAGCGAAUUCACUGGGUGCGGGAGUGGCCCGGCCAGGCCGUUCUCUGUGUGUCCCAGACCUUUUGGACCAAGGAAGUGCAAACAGCCAUUCCGAUUGGGCUGCAGGCUCUUGAGCAAUACUUGGAAAAAUGUAACAAACAAAUUGAUGAUAUUGUCACUUUGGUCCGGGGCAAACUGUCUAAGCAGAAUCGCGUUACGCUGGGAGCCCUCGUGGUACUGGAUGUCCAUGCUAGAGAUGUUCUCGCAACACUGGUCCAAAAACGCAUCAGUCACGACUCUGACUUUGAAUGGUUAAGUCAGCUUAGGUACUAUUGGCAAGAGAAUCAGUUAGAAACAAAGAUGAUCAAUGCUGGUCUGCGAUAUGGGUAUGAAUAUCUGGGUAAUUCACCCAGGCUGGUUAUUACCCCACUCACUGAUCGAUGUUACAGAACCUUAUUCGGAGCCCUUCACCUGCACCUCGGAGGGGCGCCGGAGGGCCCGGCUGGCACCGGGAAGACAGAGACCACCAAGGACCUGGCGAAAGCAGUGGCCAAGCAGUGUGUUGUGUUCAACUGCUCGGAUGGCUUGGAUUACCUGGCUUUAGGAAAAUUUUUUAAGGGACUGUUAUCUUGUGGAGCCUGGGCUUGCUUUGAUGAGUUUAACAGAAUUGAUUUGGAAGUACUUUCUGUGGUUGCUCAACAAAUCCUUACUAUCCAAAGAGGCAUUAAUGCAGGUGCUGAUAUCCUAGUAUUUGAAGGAACUGAACUAAAACUGGACCCUACGUGUGCUGUCUUCAUCACAAUGAACCCUGGGUAUGCUGGGCGGUCGGAACUGCCAGAUAAUCUGAAGGCUCUCUUCCGGACGGUAGCCAUGAUGGUCCCCGACUAUGCCAUGAUUGCCGAAAUAGUCCUGUACUCCUGCGGGUUCGUCACUGCUCGGCCGCUGUCGGUGAAGAUUGUGGCCACCUACCGCUUGUGUUCAGAGCAGCUGUCGUCGCAGCAUCACUAUGACUACGGGAUGCGAGCCGUGAAGUCGGUGCUGACAGCCGCCGGGAACCUAAAGCUGAAAUAUCCAAAUGAAAAUGAAGAAAUUUUGCUACUUAGAUCUAUUAUUGAUGUAAAUCUGCCAAAAUUUUUAGCCCAUGAUUUACCACUCUUUGAGGGGAUUACUUCAGAUUUAUUUCCUGGGGUGAAAUUACCAAAACCAGAUUACAAUGAUUUGCUGGCUGCUAUCAAAGACAAUUGCGUGGCCAUGAAUUUGCAAAUGACCAAAUUCUUCUCCGAGAAGAUUCUCCAAAUAUAUGAAAUGAUGAUUGUGCGCCAUGGCUUCAUGAUUGUUGGAGAACCAUUUGGAGGGAAGACCAGCGCCUAUCGUGUCUUAGCCGGUGCGCUGAAUGAUAUCUGUGAGAAGGGACUAAUGGAAGAAAACAAGGUUCAGAUAACGGUUUUGAACCCCAAGUCUGUCACCAUGGGGCAGCUGUACGGACAGUUUGACUUAGUGUCCCACGAGUGGUCGGACGGGAUCCUCGCCGUCAGCUUCAGGGCCUUUGCUGCGUCCCCGACCCCAGAUAGGAAGUGGUUGAUUUUUGAUGGACCAGUGGAUGCAGUGUGGAUUGAGAACAUGAACACGGUGCUGGAUGACAACAAGAAGCUGUGUCUGAUGAGCGGGGAGAUUAUCCAGAUGUCACCACAGAUGAAUCUGAUUUUCGAGCCGAUGGACUUAGAAGUUGCUUCUCCCGCCACCGUGUCCAGGUGCGGAAUGAUUUACAUGGAGCCGCACAUGUUAGGCUGGAGGCCGCUGAUGUUGUCCUGGUUGAAUCUUUUACCUGCUUCAGUCAGCGCCAUUCAGAAGGAGUUUAUAACGGGCCUAUUUGACAGGAUGGUCCCUGUGUCUGUAGAAUUUAUUAGAAGGCACACGAAGGAAUUAUCUCCUACUACAGAUACGAACCUGGUCCGAUCCUUAAUGAAUCUAAUAGACUGUUUCAUGGAUAUUUUUGUGGAUGAAGCCAAAGUAAAAGAGAGAAAUGAUCGAGAAGUUUACUCUCUGCUUGAGGGCAUUUUUAUUUUCUCGUUGAUCUGGUCCGUUGGUGCUUCUUGUACAGAUGACGAUCGGAUGAAAUUUAAUAAGAUUCUCCGAGAACUCAUGGAAGGCCCGAUUUCAGACCUAACACGAAAUAGGUUCAAAUUACAGAGCGGAGCUGAGCAAGUGUCCUCUAAGGCCCUGACUGUCACAUUUCCUGAGAAAGGAACCAUUUAUGAUUAUCAAUUUAUCACCGAGGGAGUGGGAAGGUGGGAACCAUGGAUAAAGAAAUUGGAAGAUGCCCCUCCGAUCCCUAAAGAUGUGCUGUUUAAUGAAAUCAUCGUGCCGACCUUGGACACGGUCCGAUAUUCCGUGCUGAUGAAUUUGCUGACUACGCAUCAAAAGCCUUCCAUAUUUGUAGGCCCAACAGGAACCGGGAAGAGUUCUUACAUCACUAACUUUCUUUUAAAUCAACUCCAUAAGGACAUCUACAAACCUCUGAUCAUCAACUUCUCAGCACAAACAACAGCAGCUCAAACCCAGAAUAUUAUUAUGUCAAAACUAGACAAAAGAAGAAAGGGAGUUUUUGGUCCUCCUUUGGGCAAGAUAAUGGUUGUCUUUGUGGAUGACGUCAAUAUGCCUGCUCGGGAGGUCUAUGGGGCUCAGCCUCCCAUCGAGUUACUUAGGCAGUGGUUAGAUCACUGGAACUGGUACGACCUCAAAGACUGCUCCGUGAUUAAACUGGUGGACAUUCAGAUCAUGUGUGCUAUGGGUCCUCCAGGUGGUGGCCGGAAUCCAGUAACCCCUCGAUACAUGAGACAUUUCAAUAUUAUAACAAUCAAUGAAUUCAGUGACAAAUCCAUGUUUGCCAUCUUCUCUAGGAUCUUGAACUGGCAUUUAAAAAUCUGCUAUAAGUUUCCAGACGAGUUUCUAGAUUUGACCAAACAAAUUGUAAAUGGCACGAUGACUCUGUACAAAGACGCCAUGAAGAAUCUCUUGCCUACGCCCGCUAAGUCUCACUAUUUGUUCAACCUCCGGGAUUUCUCCCGUGUCAUUCAGGGAGUUUGUCUGUCCAGACCGGAGACGGCAGAAACCCAGGAAGUGAUGAAGCGUCUUUGGGUUCACGAGGUCCUUAGAGUUUACUACGAUCGCCUUCUGGAUAAUGCAGACAGAAGCUGGCUUAUCAACUACAUUCAAGAAAUUUUGAAAAGCCACAUGCAUGAAAAUUUCCAUGAGCUUUUUAAAAGUUUGGAUUUCGAUAAUGAUGGCGUGGUACAGGAGGAUGACUUAAGAAGCUUAAUGUUCUGUGAUUUCCACGAUCCCAAGCGGGAAGAUACCAACUACAGGGAAGUGGCCAACGUGGACGGUCUCCGGAUGAUAGUGGAAACUCACCUGGAAGAAUACAACAACAUGAGCAAAAAGCCCAUGAACCUCGUCUUAUUCCGGUUCGCCAUAGAACACAUCAGCAGAAUCUCCCGGAUCUUGAAGCAGCCCCGGAGCCAUGCCCUGCUGGUUGGGGUCGGGGGCAGCGGGAGGCAGUCUGUCACCCGGCUCGCUGCCCACAUGUGUGAUUAUUCUGUUUUCCAUGUUGAGAUCUCCAAGGGCUACGGGAACAAUGAGUGGCGCGAAGAUUUAAAAGUGAUCUUAAGAAAAUGUGCCGAAGGAGACAUGCAGGGUGUCUUCCUAUUUACAGAUACUCAGAUUAAAAAAGAGACAUUUCUAGAAGAUGUCAAUAAUCUGCUGAAUGCUGGGGAGGUUCCGAAUCUCUUUGCAUUAGAUGAGAAGCAAGAGAUCUGUGAAAAGAUGCGUCAGUUAGAUCGCCAACGGGAUAAAACCAAACAGACGGACGGCAGCCCCGUAGCUCUUUUCAACAUGUUCAUUGAUCGUUGCCGCAACCAGCUGCACGUGGUGCUGGCUAUGAGUCCCAUCGGAGAUGCAUUUCGGAAUCGUCUUAGGAAGUUCCCUGCUCUUGUCAACUGCUGUACCAUUGACUGGUUUCAGUCAUGGCCUGAAGAUGCCUUACAGGCGGUUGCCUCCCGCUUCUUGGAAGACAUUGAAAUGUCAGUGGAGAUACGGAAUGGCUGUAUCGACAUGUGUAAGAGCUUCCACACCUCCACUAUCGAUUUAUCCACAUCCUUCUAUAAUGAACUGCAGAGAUACAAUUACGUGACUCCCACCUCUUACCUGGAGUUGAUCUCCACCUUCAAGCUGCUGUUAGAGAAGAAAAGAAGUGAGGUGAUGAAGAUGAAAAGGAGGUAUGAGGUGGGCUUGGACAAGCUGGACUCCGCAUCCUCUCAGGUGGCCACCAUGCAGACGGAGCUGGAGGCCCUGCAGCCCCAGUUACGUGUGGCCAGCAAGGAGGUGGACGAGAUGAUGUUGAUCAUCGAGAAGGAGUCUAUCGAAGUCGCCAAAACGGAAAAAGUGGUGAAAGCUGACGAAAUCGUGGCCAACGAUCAGGCCAUGGCCGCCAAGGCCAUCAAGGACGAGUGUGACGCGGACCUGGCCGGAGCCCUGCCCAUCCUGGAGUCGGCGCUGUCCGCCCUGGACACCCUGACCGCGCAGGAUAUCACUGUGGUGAAGUCCAUGAAGAGCCCGCCUGCGGGCGUCAAGCUCGUCAUGGAAGCGAUCUGCAUCUUGAAAGGCAUCAAAGCAGACAAAAUCCCUGACCCGACAGGUUCAGGGAAGAAAAUCGAGGAUUUCUGGGGUCCAGCUAAGAGACUGCUGGGGGACAUCCGGUUCCUACAGUCCCUGCAUGAGUAUGACAAGGACAACAUUCCUCCAGCGUACAUGAACAUCAUCAGGAAGAGUUACAUCCCCAACCCUGAUUUCGUCCCGGAAAAGAUCAGAAACGCUUCCACGGCUGCAGAAGGGCUGUGCAAGUGGGUGAUCGCGAUGGACUCGUACGAUAAAGUGGCAAAAAUUGUCGCUCCCAAAAAGAUCAAACUGGCCUCUGCCGAAGCGGAGCUGAAAGUGGCCAUGGACGGGCUCCGGAAGAAGCAGGCGGCGCUGCAGGCUGUGCAGGACAAGCUGGCCCGGCUGCAGGACACGCUCGAGCUGAACAAACAGAAGAAGGCUGACCUGGAAAACCAGGUUGACUUGUGCAGCAAGAAGCUGGAACGGGCGGAGCAGCUGAUCGGAGGCCUGGGCGGAGAGAAGACCCGCUGGAGCCACUCAGCCCUGGAGCUGGGGCAGCUCUACAUCAACCUGACGGGCGACAUCCUCAUCUCCUCGGGAGUGGUGGCCUACCUGGGCGCCUUCACGUCCAACUACAGACAGAACCAAACCAAGGAGUGGACAAAUUUGUGCAAAGAACGAGAUAUACCCUGCUCCGAUGAGUACUCACUGAUGGGCACCCUGGGGGAGGCGGUGACGAUUCGAGCCUGGAACAUUGCCGGAUUACCUUCCGACUCGUUUUCCAUCGACAACGGGAUCAUCAUCGUGAACGCGAGGAGAUGGCCUCUGAUGAUAGAUCCUCAAGGCCAGGCUAACAAAUGGAUCAAGAACAUGGAAAAAACCAACAGCCUUCAGCUCAUUAAAUUAAGCGAUCCCGACUACGUCAGGACCCUGGAAAACUGCAUCCAGUUUGGCACUCCGGUGUUGCUAGAGAAUGUUGGAGAAGAGCUGGAUCCCAUCUUGGAGCCUCUUCUCCUGAAGCAGACCUUCAAGCAGGGCGGGAGUCUGUGCAUCCGCCUGGGGGAUACCAUCAUUGAGUACGCGCCCGACUUCCGCUUCUACAUCACCACGAAGCUGAGAAACCCUCACUACCUUCCCGAAACCUCCGUCAAGGUAACAUUAUUAAACUUCAUGAUCACCCCGGAGGGCAUGCAAGACCAGCUGCUGGGCAUCGUGGUGGCGAGAGAGAGGCCAGACCUUGAGGAAGAAAAGCAAGCGCUGAUACUGCAGGGAGCCGAAAACAAAAGGCAGUUAAAAGAAAUAGAAGACAAGAUUUUAGAAGUUCUUUCAUCUUCAGAAGGCAAUAUAUUAGAGGAUGAAACUGCUAUUAAGAUAUUAUCUUCCUCCAAGGCUUUGGCUAAUGAGAUUUCUCAGAAGCAGGAGGUAGCUGAAGACACGGAGAAAAAGAUCGACAACACCCGCAUGGGCUACCGCCCUAUCGCCGUCCACUCCUCCAUCCUCUUCUUCUCCAUUGCUGACUUAGCCAACAUUGAGCCCAUGUACCAGUAUUCACUCCUCUGGUUUAUUAACCUUUUCAUCCUGUCUAUUGAGAAUUCAGAGAAAUCCGAACACUUAGCAGUAAGGCUUCAGAUUCUCCGGGACCAUUUUACUUACUCUCUGUACGUGAAUGUCUGUCGGUCACUCUUUGAAAAGGACAAGCUACUCUUCUCCUUCUGCCUAACUGCGAAUCUUCUUAUCCAUGACCAUGUGAUCAAUAAAGCUGAGUGGAGAUUUCUGCUGACCGGUGGCAUUGGACUGGAUAAUCCUUAUGCCAAUCCUUGCACAUGGCUUCCUCAAAAAUCCUGGGAUGAGAUCUGUCGAUUAGACGACUUGCCUGCCUUCAGAACCAUUCGCAAGGAAUUCAUGCACUUGAAGGAUGGAUGGAAAAAAGUAUAUGACAGUUUGGAGCCACACCACGAGGUUUUCCCGGAAGAGUGGGAAAAUAAGGCAAAUGAAUUUCAGAGGAUGCUUAUCAUCCGUUGCUUGAGACCAGACAAGAUUAUUCCAAUGUUGCAAGAAUAUAUCAUCAGCAAAUUGGGGCGUGCGUUCAUUGAGCCGCCCCCCUUUGACCUGUCCAAGGCGUUUGGGGACAGCCACUGCUGCGCGCCCCUGAUCUUCGUGCUGUCCCCUGGGGCGGACCCCAUGGCUGCUCUGCUGAAGUUUGCUGAUGACCAGGGGUAUGGGGGUGCAAAACUUAGCUCUUUAUCUCUGGGCCAAGGCCAAGGGCCCAUCGCGAUGAAGAUGGUAGAAAAAGCCAUCAAGGAGGGCACUUGGGUGGUCCUUCAGAACUGUCACCUUGCCACCUCUUGGAUGCCGACCCUGGAGAAGGUCUGCGAGGAGUUAAGCCCAGAAUCAACGCACCCUGAUUUCCGAAUCUGGCUGACAAGCUACCCAUCUCCAAAUUUCCCCGUGUCGGUGCUGCAGAACGGAGUCAAGAUGACCAACGAGGCGCCGAAAGGUUUACGAGCUAAUAUCAUCCGGUCGUACCUCAUGGACCCCAUCUCUGACCCCGAGUUCUUUGGCAGCUGCAAAAAGCCUGAGGAAUUCAAGAAAUUGCUCUACGGCCUCUGCUUCUUUCAUGCAUUGGUCCAAGAGAGGCGCAAGUUUGGCCCGCUGGGCUGGAACAUCCCUUACGAGUUCAAUGAGACCGACCUGCGCAUCAGCGUCCAGCAGCUGCACAUGUUCCUGAACCAGUACGAGGAACUGCCCUUCGACGCUCUGCGCUACAUGACCGGGGAGUGCAAUUACGGAGGCCGGGUGACCGACGACUGGGACCGGCGCACGCUGCGCACCAUCCUGAACAAGUUCUUCUGCCCCGAGUUGGUGGUGAAGCUAGACUACCAGUUUGACUCAAGCGGCAUCUACUUCGUGCCGCCUGCGGGCGACCACAAGAGCUACAUUGACUACACCAAGACCCUGCCGCUGACGCCCGCGCCGGAAGUCUUUGGGAUGAACGCCAACGCGGACAUCACGAAAGACCAGGCGGAGACGCAGCUGCUGUUCGACAACAUUCUUCUUACACAGUCUCGUUCUGCAGGUGCAGGUGCAAAGUCGUCAGAAGAAGUGGUAAACGAGGUGGCCAGCGACAUCCUGGGUAAACUUCCCAACAACUUUGACGUUGAGGCGGCGAUGAGGAGAUACCCGACGACGUACAACCAGAGCAUGAACACCGUCCUGGUCCAGGAGAUGGGACGGUUCAACAAGCUGCUCGGGACCAUCCGAGAGUCGUGCAUUAACAUUCAGAAAGCGAUCAAGGGGCUCGUGGUGAUGUCCACAGACCUUGAAGAAGUGGUGAGCAGCAUUCUCAACGUCAAAAUUCCCGGAAUGUGGAUGGGAAAAUCCUACCCAAGCCUCAAACCCCUGGGCAGCUACGUGAAUGACUUCCUUUCCAGACUAAAAUUCUUGCAGCAAUGGUACGAGUCUGGGCCGCCCCCGGUCUUCUGGCUGUCCGGCUUCUUCUUCACGCAAGCCUUCCUGACCGGUGCCCAGCAGAACUACGCCAGGAGGCACACGAUCCCCAUCGACCUCCUCGGGUUUGACUACGAAGUGAUGGAGGACAAAGAGUACAAGCAGGGGCCUGAGGACGGUGUUUACAUUCACGGACUGUUUCUGGACGGAGCUUCCUGGAACAGGAAGAUCAAGAAACUCGGAGAGUCCUAUCCUAAAAUUCUUUACGACACAGUGCCUGUGUCCCGGGGUUCUAGGGGCACUCACGACUCCCGCAGCACCCACUUGGGUGUCAGGGCAAACCCACCACAAAGAGCGCAGCCCCACCGUGGCACCCAGGAGACCCUGAGCAGGACGCCCACUCGAAACUGCGAAAGCUAUAACAGGACCUGGAGCUUAGCCCUGCUCCAGCUGCCUGGGACUGCGUACCUGGGCUCACAGAGGUCCCGUGGCUCGGAGCUCUGCCCAGAGCCGUGCUGGUCUCGGGGUCAGAAACCAGGUUGAUCAGUCGGGACACUUGCAGACAUGGAUCAGGAACAACCAUCUCUGAUGACGUUGUCGUGUCACUGAGGCAUAAGGACAUGGCUAGCUUUUUACACAAUUUGAGAUACAAUCCAGGCUGUGGUCUUCGGGCAGCAGUCCAGUUACGGGAAACCCACUGCAUACCAAGGUCCUUAGAACAUGGCUCUCAAGUUGAAGGUCACAAAGGCUGUCUUUGUUUUGUUUUCUUUUCUUUUACAGGAAGACUCUUAAGUAGCUUGCUGUGAGUAGAAGGUAUUUUUUAUAACUGAGUAGCGAUUCCUUUGAAUGAAGUCUGCUGGUGAAAUAAAAAUUCUCGUUAGAAAACUCUCGCAUUGAUGUAAAAUGAAACCUAUCCAUGAGUGCUUUGAGAGCAUGUUGGGUCCCACGUGGUAGAAACUGUUUGGGGGCCCCUCAUGGUAACCUGGACUCCAUAGGUGUGUGGGAGAAACAGAGAAACCUAUAUCCUUUGUGGCUCCUUCAUAAAAAUUCUGCUUUGACCCGAGAAGCCUAAAAGAAUGCUCUGACCAGUGGGGCCAGCACGUCCCGUCACCUGAAGGCUCGUGUACCCAAGACGACCACUGGAAAAACGAGUCUGGGUAAAUUCUGAAACAUGCUUAUGACCCCGGUUGCUUCUUCACCCUUGCGUUCAAGGACCAGCUUGCUUCGACUGGGGAGUUCAACAAUAGAGGGUAGUCAUAACAUUCUGGGAACUUGGCUAAUGACUCUGAAAGAACGCAGUAAAUACAAGGAUGAAAUUAUGCUUUAUUUGUCUUUUUUAAAUUGGAAAAUUGUGCUUUAUUUAGGCACCAAUGCUUGUACCACUGACAGAGAGAAACCUUCUUAUUAUAAGCAUUGACACACGGUAGUUGUACAGUCACUAGGCUUCCCUGCGAUACUUGCAAACAUCAUGCAUCGCUCACCCCAUCUCCCCUUUCCCUCGCCUCCCCUCCCCCAUCCCCUGCCUUCUCACAGGAGAACGUGAGAUGCUGUCUGGGUCUGGCUUACUUCCCCUCACAUGCCCACUUUCAGAUCUACCCAUUUGCCUGCAAAUUUCAUUCUUGUUUGCGGCUGCACAUGCUCCUCCGUGUAGAAUGCAAGCCCUGUCUUUAUCAUUCAUCCCUUGACAGGCACCUAGGCCGAUGCUGCUGUGCAUUAUGCUGAGAUAAACAUGAGGAUCCAAGACUCUGUGGUCUGCUGACUUGUCCUCUGGUUAUGUGCCGAGGAAUUGUACAGCUGGACCCUAAGGCAGUUCUCCUUUUAGCUUUCUGAGGAACCUGCAUACCAAUUUCAUAGUGGCUGUACAAAUUUGCAUUCCAACAGUGUAUAAAGGUUUCUUUCGCCUCGCCAGCAUUUAUUAUUUUCAUGUAUUCUUGAUGACAGCCACAUGAUGGGUGUGAUUUGCAUUUCCCCAAUGGCUAAUGAUGAUGAACAUCUUCUUGUGCAAUGAUUGGCUUUUGUAUUUCAUGGUUUGCAAAAUACCUUUUCGAUUCAUUUGCCUGUUGAGUGAUUGGAAUAGUUGUUCUUGGGUGUUUUUUGAAUUACACAUUCUGGUAUUAAUCCUCCGUCAGGGGUAGCUGACAUUUCUCUACUCUGCUGGCUGUCUCUCUGUUCUGUGGACGUUUCUGUCGCUGUGCAGAAUGUUUUUAAGUUGACGCAAUCCCAUUUGUCAGUUCUUGCUAUUAUUCCCUCAGCUACUGAGUCUUAUUCAGAAAUACCCCCAUGCUGAGACCCUGAAGUAGCCCCCUGUUUUCUUCCAGCCGUUUUGAAGUUUUGAGUCUCACAUUUAGGUCACUGGUCCAUUCUGAGUUGAUGUUUCAUAGGGUGAGAGAUGGGGGUCUAGUGUCAGCCUCCUAUGGUGGAUAUCAGGCUUCCCAGCAGCACGGUGCAGAGGCGCUCUUUUCUCCGGGUUUGCUUUCGGGACCCUGGUGGAGAAUCGUGGCUGGCUGUGCCGUGUUCAUUUCCAGGCUUUGCCGGCUGUUGUGAGCGUGCUCUGUAGCGUGUUUUGCGUCAGGUUUCACGCUGUCUCCGGCUUUGCUCUUUUUGCUCGGGAUUGCUUUGUCUGUUCAGAGUUGCUUCUGCUUCUGCAGAAUUUUAGAAAUGUUUCCUCUACUCUUGGGAAGAACAGUACUGAUAUUUUGAUGCUGGUUGCACUGAAUCUGUAGAUCACUUUUAGUAGUACAGCCAUUUGAAUAUUUAUUCUUUUAAUCCAUGAUCUUGGUGAGGGUCUUUCCAACUUUAAGUGUCUUCUUCAAUUUCUUUUUUUAGCGUUUUGUAACUUUUGUUGGAGAGGGCUUUCACUUCCUUAAGUUUGUUCCUAGAUAUUUUACAUUAUUUCGAUGGCUAUUGUGAAUGAAAUUGCUUUCUUGGUUUCUUUUUCAAAAAAAUCCGUUAUUGGUAUACAGAAAAGAUACUGACUUUUUAUGGUGAUUUUAUAUUCUGCUGCUUGAGCGGACGUGUUCAUAAAUUCUAGCAGUCAGGGCCCGCGCUUCUGUUCUCCGGGUGUGUACGCCCUCAGCUCUGCCUGGUACUUUCUCUGCCUUUUACUUUCUCUGCCCUGUAAAUUCUUUUCCUGACGGGAACUGGCGAACCUGUUCCAGGGCUGCAUGAGUCGAGGUCUCCAUCUCCUCCUCGGGACCCUCCUCAGACCCCGUCCAGUGAUACCUUUUGCUGAGCCACCACGAGGUAAGCUGCGGCGCCAGCUUUAACUCUUUGCCCGCCGAUCGCACGGCCUCCUCUCUCCCUGCAACCCUCUGCCUCUUCAGUGUCCCUUGUCAGCACUCACAGGCUCCUGAAGUCAAGUACGAGGGCGGCUCUCGGACAGCCUUGCUCUACGAUCUCUCUUCCUGCAAAGAAAGCGCUCUCAUUUCCUUGAUUUGUGAGUCAAACACUGACUGAUUUUCAGUCCUUUUCCUGUGGUCUGCAGAAAUGCGGUCCCCCAGAGAACAACGCCUGCCCUGCACAUUCUACCCGAGGAGGUGCUGUGGGGAGGGGAGGCGGUUUGCACCUGGGUCCCUGGGUCCCUGGGCCACCAUCCAUGGCAGGACCCAAGGCCACCCGGUGCCCUCUCCCACCCGACUGGCAGCACCACCCACACCCGGUGGAUUCGUGCUGAGCCCAGGGCCAGGCCCCGCCUCAGCCGGUGAUUUCCUCUCCAAGAUGCUUUCCCCGGCCUCCUUCUGCCCUAGCUUGGCGGGCCGCGCACCUCCCCUCUGGCCAGCCCCUUCCUUCUUCCACAUUUCGUUCUGUCUCUUAGAACCACCCUAGCCUCGAGUUUCACUCCUGGUGGAGGCCAGGAUGCACUUGCGUCGCUGCUGUGGACAAACCAGAAGCCCCAGGUCCCUGCCGUGUCUGAGCGAUCAGCCUGCGCAGGAAGUCUCCGAGCUCCGCGUCCCCGAUGAGCUUGCAUGCUUUUGAGGGCACCGGGAACGCCGGGGAAGCCGACGGCUCCUGCACCAAAGAGCAGAGCUGUGGCUUCUAGGAAUGGCGCGAGGAAACGGAAGCCAAUGUGGCUGAAGCCCUGCAAGAGGGCAGACAUCCCCAAGCGGCCGAGCUAUGUCGCACCACUGUACAAGACCAGCGAGCGGAGAGG